CUUCUUGAUUUCUGCCUUGUGAAUCCCUAUAAUAAAGGGGUCGGGGCAACCUGACUAAGAUGCUAAACCCUUUAUGGAAUAGACGUCAUGGACCCGGGGGCAGUGCCCGGCGGCUCCACCAUGAAUGGCCAAUGAACUGUUUGGAAUGAAACAACUUUAUUGACCAUUGAUGAUGGGGCCGAAACAGGAUCGACAUGAGUAAUAAAGAUAAAGUCUGUAUCCGUUUGAGACACGGUCGUAUCCGUUCAAGCAUAAUAAAUGCAAAUGAUAACGUACAAACCGUAGCAGCUAAUGACAACUCUUUCGUUGUUGCUGGUGAUAAAAUCGCUGCUUAAUUGCGCCGAUGAAGCUACAUAAUCCCUCUGGCUACGGCUAGGGGUGGGGCGUGGGGCGGCCUAUCAACAGAACAGCCCCAUU
RNAcentral lists this transfer-messenger RNA (417 nucleotides) under Rhodospirillaceae bacterium. It matches the Rfam family "Alphaproteobacteria transfer-messenger RNA". Rfam says of the family: Bacterial tmRNA, also known as 10Sa RNA or SsrA, is named for its dual tRNA and mRNA-like properties. Its role is to liberate the mRNA from a stalled ribosome. To accomplish this part of the tmRNA is used as a reading frame that ends in a translation stop signal. The record is from RNAcentral. Lineage: Bacteria; Pseudomonadati; Pseudomonadota; Alphaproteobacteria; Rhodospirillales; Rhodospirillaceae.